This 492-nucleotide ribosomal RNA is filed under the name uncultured bacterium. RNAcentral's name for it is "partial 16S ribosomal RNA". It matches the Rfam family "Bacterial small subunit ribosomal RNA", at positions 29 to 507 of the family's 1533-position model. The record is from RNAcentral.
AGUGAACGCUGGCGGUAGGCCUAACACAUGCAAGUCGAACGGCAGCACAGUAAGAGCUUGCUCUUACGGGUGGCGAGUGGCGGACGGGUGAGGAAUACAUCGGAAUCUACUUUUUCGUGGGGGAUAACGUAGGGAAACUUACGCUAAUACCGCAUACGACCUACGGGUGAAAGCAGGGGAUCUUCGGACCUUGCGCGAUUGAAUGAGCCGAUGUCGGAUUAGCUAGUUGGCGGGGUAAAGGCCCACCAAGGCGACGAUCCGUAGCUGGUCUGAGAGGAUGAUCAGCCACACUGGAACUGAGACAGGGUCAAGACUCGGAAGAGAGGAAGCAGUCGGGAAUAUUGGACAAGGGGGGCGAGCCUGAUCCAGCAAUACCGCGUAAGUGAAGAAGGCCUUCGGGUUGUAAAGCCCUUUUGUUGGGAAAGAAAAGCAGCAGGUUAAUACCCCACUGUUCUGACGGUACCCAAAGAAUAAGCACCGGCUAACUUCGUG